This is a long non-coding RNA of Acinonyx jubatus (cheetah), 2692 nucleotides long. RefSeq lists it as uncharacterized. Lineage: Eukaryota; Metazoa; Chordata; Mammalia; Carnivora; Felidae. The record is from RefSeq and is a predicted model, not a curated record. The transcript has 4 exons.
UUUCUGCAGGAUCCUGGAACAUAAGGUAGGCUGGACAGGAAGGGUGUCACCUUCUGUAAAUUUACUAUUGUUUAGGAGAAUUCAAAGCAGAAGAAAGCAGGCCAUCAAAGGAACCGACGAGGACUAUUUCCCCCACCUUGUUCUGAGGGUUUAAAUUACUCUGGUAUUUUAAACGAGCUGCUUUUGAAAAAUAGGUUACUGCCAUUUAGUUGAUGACGGAAACAGAAGCCAAGAAGAGUGCAAAUUGUAAACUGACGUGCAUAAGCCAAACGUAUUCUCUCAAAGGACAACGUUCAAGACGCAGCUAAAGUCCCCACUCGGGCGGUAAGCGUGUUACAAAGAACUAGAUCUCUUUCUGGCAUCCGCAACUUGGCCGGAGUGACCACGGAGGAGUUGAAGAGCGCUGGAAACGCUAGGUUCCUCGCCGGUCACCUGAGGGCUGCGGCCUUGGGUCAGGUUCUUGGCUCCCAGCCACGCAUUCCAAGGUCACUGUCUCAACAAUUCCUGUGGAAUCUUGGGGGGAUGACCCUGUUAUGGGUUGAAUUGUGUUCUCUAAAAGGAUAUGCUGGGAGUCCUAACCCCUGGUACCUGCGCAUAUGACCUUAUUUGCAAAUAGGGCCUUCGCAGAUGUAAUCAAGUGAAGUUGAGAUCGUUGGGUGGGCCCUCAUCCAAUAUGACCAGUGACCUUACAAGAAGAUGGAAAUUUGCUCAUAGACAUGCACCGAGGGGUGCCAAUGUGAAGACACAGAAGGAAGAAGGCCAUACGAAGACAGAAGCAGAGAUUGGAGCCACGAGGCCACAAGCCAAGGAACGCCCGGGGCUACCAGAAGUGGGAAGAGACAAGGAAGCAUCCUUGUCUAGCGGCUUCAGAGGGAGCGUGACUUUGCCUGUGCCUUGAUUUUGGACUUCUACCUUCUAGAACUGUGAAACAACAAACUUCUAUUGCUUCGAGCCACCCAGUUUGGAGCACUUUGUUCGAGCAGCCUUCGAACACUAAUAUCAACUUCGGUGUCUGCUCAGGACAGAAUGGCGACCACGGAGAAUUCUGGACGGGGCGGAGGAAGAGAUUGCUCCCUUCUGUACUUUGAGCGGCAGCAAAGGGCUAUGACCAUUGCCCUCCUGGAUGCAGAAGGAGGCACUGGCCUCAUUAUAUGCAUACACCAUGACUGCUGUCUUAAACUCCAAUACUGCUGAACAAUUCAGAAAUAGAUCCAUUAUAGGUCUGCUUUAGCCCCAGGGCUUUAACACGGGUCACUAGAAAAUCCAAGAUUGCACAGUAAUUCAAACUCUUAAGAGGGAAAGGAAAAAAAAAAAUUCUCUUCAGCACUCCCCCCCCCCCCCCGCCCAGAGUCCCUCCCUCCAGCAUCACAGGAAGCCCCUCUUCAUUUCCGUAGUGCUUUAGAAUAAAUAGCUCUUAUGUUGAACUUGAAAUCUAAAUUUUUCGCCAGCUAUUAAUUGAUAAGAGAAGCUCGUUUUACCUCUUAUGCUCUGUAGUAAGAUUACGGUGUAAAUAAACUGGGUCAGGUUUAGCAGGAUGGAGGUGAACUGUUCUCUAAUUCCCCUUAAUCUCUGGUAAAGGAAUAACUAGGAUUUGAACGUCAACAUUCAAUAAGCAAUUAUGGCACUCCUUCAAGCACGAUCCAAAUUAGUCUGCUGUUCCCUCAAAUAGAAUCCAAAGGACUUCCAAACCGUGCUCUUCGAUUGCAACCUCCUUGUUUUGUUCUAACCGGUGAGAGGAGUCAGGAUUGCAGGAGGGAUUUGAUUUGAUUUAUAUUAAUUUUUAGAGUAUCAGGGAUCUCUUGUUUUACUUGAAACAGAUCAGGGAACGGGGUCAGUAAACAAGGGUUUUCUCGACUACUGAUCUCGACUACUGAUCACUCAGCAUUUCAUGAGGCUGGCUUCUAGCUUUCACAGUGCAUUAGAAUCAUUAUCUAAUUAUUAAUCUCACCCUAGAGUUCUGAGGAGCUUAUGACACCCGUUGAAGUUAAUGAAGGCUUUUACCUGUGGAUCUGGCACUAAAUCGCUCUGAUUGACCGAGUGCCCACAAUAUGGUAGGCACUGAUAGAAUUGACAGAGGGGAAAAAGAAUUAAACGGAAGGAAAUUAAGAAGAGGAAGAAGGAGAAGGCGUCAGAGAGGAGGAGGGGCGAGAAACCAAAAGGAGAUUGUAACUUCAAAACACCUCGUUAGGAAAAUGGGGCAGUUAAGGAAGAACUCACCAAGUAAUCUGCUUAAACUUUAAUUAAUUAUUCAUUUAUAUAUAUUUAUGUGGCACACUUUCUCUAGGGAAACCAAUGUGCUUUGCAAACAUAUUAAAUAAUUAACUCCCUCAAAUCUGAGUGGAAAGGGAGCAAAAUUACUCCAGAAAAGGACCUGUGGGUUGAUGAGUGAUGGAUGCGUCUCGCUUUGAAGAGGCGAUCCUGUGUGAUACCCACCAGAGACCGCAUAACAAAAGACCUCUUCUGGGGGGUAACUGUGGGUACUAUGGUGAUCCCUCCCCCCACCUUCCAGAAGAAGCAGCUUUUGCUUAUACAGAUAAUGAUGCUACGGAGAGAGACAAACAGGAAGACGCAUAAAUUGAUAUGAUACAGAAAUCCAGUAUAUUUUGAGGAAGGGUGCUAUUAGAAGAAAGUCAAAUGGAGUGCAUUUUUUAAUAAAAUACUGCCUUUGAGACAAAAGUUAAAGUUAGGACGU